This 253-nucleotide ribosomal RNA is filed under the name uncultured bacterium. RNAcentral's name for it is "partial 16S ribosomal RNA". It matches the Rfam family "Bacterial small subunit ribosomal RNA", at positions 524 to 776 of the family's 1533-position model. The record is from RNAcentral.
UACGGAGGGGGCUAGCGUUGUUCGGAAUUACUGGGCGUAAAGGGCGCGUAGGCGGCGAUUCAAGUCAGGCGUGAAAGGCCUGGGCUCAACCCGGGAACUGCGGUUGAUACUGGAUUGCUGGAGUCCGGGAGAGGAUGGCGGAAUUCCCAGUGUAGAGGUGAAAUUCGUAGAGAUUGGGAAGAACACCGGUGGCGAAGGCGGCCAGCUGGACCGGAACUGACGCUGAGGCGCGAAAGCGUGGGGAGCAAACAGG